This 439-nucleotide ribosomal RNA is filed under the name uncultured bacterium. RNAcentral's name for it is "partial 16S ribosomal RNA". It matches the Rfam family "Bacterial small subunit ribosomal RNA", at positions 339 to 795 of the family's 1533-position model. The record is from RNAcentral.
CUACGGGAGACAGCAGUGGGGAAUAUUGCACAAUGGGGGAAACCCUGAUGCAGCAACGCCGCGUGAGUGAUGACGGCCUUCGGGUUGUAAAGCUCUGUCUUUGGGGACGAUAAUGACGGUACCCAAGGAGGAAGUCACGGCUAACUACGUGCCAGCAGCCGCGGUAAUACGUAGGUGACAAGCGUUAUCCGGAUUUACUGGGCGUAAAGGGAGCGUAGGCGGAUAAUUAAGUGGGAUGUGAAAUACCCGGGCUCAACCUGGGUGCUGCAUUCCAAACUGGUUAUCUAGAGUGCAGGAGAGGAGAGUGGAAUUCCUAGUGUAGCGGUGAAAUGCGUAGAGAUUAGGAAGAACACCAGUGGCGAAGGCGACUCUCUGGACUGUAACUGACGCUGAGGCUCGAAAGCGUGGGGAGCAAACAGGAUUAGAUACCCGGGUAGUC